Molecule: long non-coding RNA, 190 nt
Organism: Saccostrea cuccullata (small rock oyster)
Lineage: Eukaryota; Metazoa; Mollusca; Bivalvia; Ostreida; Ostreidae
Exons: 3
Source: RefSeq, a predicted model, not a curated record
GUUAUAGUUGUAGUGAUGGAUAAAAUUUCAUUAUCAUUUUUCUGCUACUCGUGGAUAAUUUCUAAAUUGUCAUCAUCAUGUACGACCAGUGGGUACUGCCAAAAUACGAGCUUGUGUAUCAGUAAGGAAGCCAAAUCUUCAGAGGAGAUAUUUGAGAGUCUAACCAUUUCGGAGGAAAACCCAGGCCCAC